AGCUAAUAGAUACCCAGGUAGCCCUGGCAGUAAACGGUGCACGUUUGGUGUGGGAGGAUUCGACCCCUUCUGCGCCGGAGCUAAACGCGUUAAACGUGCCGCCUGGGGAGUACGGUCGCAAGAUUAAAACUCAAAGAAAUUGACGGGGGCCCGCACAAGCGGUGGAGUAUGUGGCUUAAUUCGAUGCAACGCGAAGAACCUUACCUGGCCUUGACAUGCAUCUCUAAGUUGGUGAAAGCCAGCGAGUCCCGAAAGGGACAAUUUGCACAGGUGCUGCAUGGCUGUCGUCAGCUCGUGUCGUGAGAUGUUGGGUUAAAGUCCCGCAACGAGCGCAACCCCUGUGAACUGUUGCCACCGACCCGCGAGGGUCGAGCACUCUGUUCAGACUGCCCUGUGAAACGGGGAGGAAGGUGGGGACGACGUCAAGUCAGUAUGGCCCUUACGGCCAGGGCUGCACACGUACUACAAUGCCCAGUACAGAAGGAUCCGAGAUCGCGAGGUGGAGGAAAUCUCUAAAA
This 518-nucleotide ribosomal RNA is filed under the name uncultured bacterium. Its description in RNAcentral is "bacterial SSU rRNA". It matches the Rfam family "Bacterial small subunit ribosomal RNA", at positions 767 to 1280 of the family's 1533-position model. The record is from RNAcentral.